AGGUGAUACUCUCUCCGUUUCGUAAUGUAAGUCAUUCUAGUAUUUUUCCCAUUCAUAUUGAUGUUAAUGAUUCUAGACAGAUUUAUUGAUAUCAAUAUGCAUGUGGGAAAUGCUAGAAUGAUUUCCAUUGUGAAAAAGAG
This 140-nucleotide unclassified non-coding RNA is filed under the name Oryza sativa (Asian cultivated rice). RNAcentral describes it as "partial microRNA MIR455c precursor". Lineage: Eukaryota; Viridiplantae; Streptophyta; Magnoliopsida; Poales; Poaceae. The record is from RNAcentral.